Pocillopora verrucosa is the source of this 649-nucleotide non-coding RNA. The record is from RefSeq and is a predicted model, not a curated record. Lineage: Eukaryota; Metazoa; Cnidaria; Anthozoa; Scleractinia; Pocilloporidae.
GAUAUUGAAGGACCCUUACAGCAGGUCCAACUGCUGUACCUCCUCCUUGGGAGAAGAUGUAUGUGGGCCCCAUUUACAUUUGACCAGGCAAAUUUUCCAGGCUGUUGUACAGAGCCACCAAGACCUGAUGCCAAUUGUGGUGGUCUUGUUUGAUGAGAGUGAUGAGAGUGUCAAUGUCAUCAGGACACUUAAUGAGGAUACACAACUAACAAAUAUGUUAGACAGCUGCUUGGUAUUUGUGGCACACAACAGAUCACCUUGUGUGUCACAAAUGUUUGAACGUGUUGGCGAAGAUCCAUGUCCCUUGAGUGGUGCCCAUGUCUUGAUUCUGCAACAAGUUGGUGCUACCAAACGCUAAGUCAUUACAGCAUGGUUGUCAGGUAUAUGAUGUUAUUGGUGCAUGCCUCCAUGUUUCCUUAGAGAAAAGUGACCAGCCUCGAUGUAUUGAUAAUCUAAUUUUCUUAUUACUAGAUGAUAAAUUGAAAGCAGAGGAGGUGAUCAGACACACCACAGUGAAUCUCCACCAUUUAAAGGUCAUCUCUCUACAAAGGUAUACCUACAGUAAACUUCACAUAUUCUAGACUUUCUUCUAUGUAAUUUGUUACAAAGGAAAACAACAGGUGAAGCAUUUUCUAUGCAGUAAAGUAAA